This 3585-nucleotide long non-coding RNA is filed under the name Homo sapiens (human). RNAcentral describes it as "novel transcript, antisense to DCDC1". The record is from RNAcentral. Lineage: Eukaryota; Metazoa; Chordata; Mammalia; Primates; Hominidae.
AAAGAGGUAUGUGUCUGUUUCAGAGAAUCUGCUCUCUUCUACCUUGCUUUAUUUGGGUGGUGUGACCUUGGCUCUUCUGUAUAUUCAUCCUGCCUGUCACUUUUCAGAACCGAGGCAGCAAAGGACCAUAAGCAAUUCUCCAAUGGUGAAGAUCGACCCCAGUCAUGUAAAAACACGAGGCAACACAUUUCACUUUUGCUUAAGAAGGAUCUUGCAGAAAGUGAAGAAGAGCAGGAAUAGAGAAGACAUUUGAAUGACGACUGAUGUUCUCUUCUUUGGCCUGAGGUUUUAGAACACAUUCACUGCCUGAUCACUGUGGCCCAGAAGCCAUGGCCUCUGCUGAGAGAUAGGGACCCCAUGUUCCCUCUACACAUCUUCUUCCCCAAAGCCUCUCUGAGGCUCCUAUGUUCAAAGAAACAGUCCUCUGGCAAUGGCCUGGUCCUUUCUGCCAUACCAAAGAAAGUUGUUUUUUGUUUUGAGCAAGAGAUCACUUCUGAUUUUCCUACCUUUGACAUGGACCAGACUAAUUGACAAAUUCUAGAAGGACAGACACUUCCAAACGUCUCUUGACAUACUGGCUUCACAAAGGUUAGGAAAGCUGUUAUGGGGAGGACGGAGCCUUUCUCCUCUUCCUGAGAACGUUUGAAGAAGAAAGGGGCUACUGAGAAGUCUGGUAGAUUCAGCAGCUAGUAAAUAUCGUGUCUAAAUGGGCAUCUUUUAUUAAACUCUGAGGCAGGGUUGGUGUGUUAGGCCAUUCUUUCUUGCUAUAAAGAAAUAUCUGAGACUGGGUAACUUAUAAAGAACAGAGGUUUAAUUGGCUCAUGGUUCUGCAGGCUGCACAGAAAGCAUAAUGACAUCUUCUUCUGGCUAGGCCUCUGGAAGCUUCCAAUGAUGGUGGAAGGCGAAGAGGGAACUUGCGCAUCACAUGGCAAAAGCAGGAGCAAGAGAGAGGCGAGGAGGUGCCGCACACUUUUAAAAGACCAGAUCUCAUGAAAACUCACUAUUGUGAGGACAGCACCAAGAGGAUCGUGCUAAAUUAUUCAAGAGAAAUCCUCCCCCAUGAUCCAGUCACCUCCCACCAGGCCCCACCUCCAACAUUGGGGAUUACAUUUCAACAUGAGAUUUGGAUGGAAACACAUUCAAGCUUUAUCAGGUAGAAGAACACAUCCCUGAUUAAACGUUACAUCCUGCGAAGACAGACUGUGAAGGCCAGGCCACAAUAGCUGGGGAGACAAUGCAUUUUUUGUUCAGAGCAGCCACCAACAGUGAUGACAAGAGCCAUCAAUGGGCCAAGGUCAAAGAUCAGCAGUCCCUCUGUCACUUCAUUCUUCUUCUGGCUCCCAAUAGAGUCCAUAGGAACUCAAUCUCAGUUCUGAAAUCUAAUCAAAGCUCAUCCACUCAGACCCAAGCCAAGGACACCAAAGAACAAAUUCAUAAGGCAAACAAAGUCUUCACUCAGCCUUCUGCAUUUAGUGAUUGUGGAAAUGUGGUGCAACUGCCAGCUAGAUGAGAGACUUUGGAGGAAAUGGGUGAUUUAAGCCUUGGGAGUGAGGAUUAGCAAGAGAGAUUGAUGAAGAUUCUGGACACAUUUGGGAAGCACCAGAGUGAGAGCGUGCCAUGACUCUCCAGGUGGGCAUCUGAGGAAGCUUAAAAUGAUGAGCCAAAUUAAAAAUAGGAAAUGAGAGCACAGAGGCUGUUUUUGACAAAGUUCCUUACUUCUCUCUGCCUCAUGGAAAACAGGAACAUCAGCCCUUCCUAGACCCGCCCCCCCCAGGCAUGUGUGCGACAUUUGUCCUGGAUGCAGCUAAAAUCCAUCCUUUAUGAUACAGUUUAUUCCUUGAUGCCAUUGUCUGCUAGGAGAUUUCCCGGAUUCUGAAAGUGUGCAAGCAAUACUUUUCAAUUACUGCACAUACACCCUGACACACCAUGUGGCCUUCACCAAUUUGCUGCACAAUCUAUCUUAACAGUAACCACAAAGCAUGCUUCUUGAUAGUAUGGACAAAAUCAUUUCUCUCUUUUGUUGCUUAGGAAUUCUGUUGUAGGCUCAACUUGCUAAACUAGUUGUGCAGAUCAACACAUGAGAGACAGGAGCCUCUCCACUAAAUGAGGGUGGGAAUGAAAGUGAGUAAUGUCUUUGGGGCCCUUGGAAUAGGCCUUUGCUGGUGGAAACCCUGCUCAACAAAGAGAAGAAAGUAUCCAGCACAGGGCUAGGCUUGCAUCAGCAAAGGGAAACCCAGCAACCACAUCAGUGUAAAUGAUUCUGCUAUUCUACCUGGCACCCACUCUUCUUAAUGUGGUAACUUAAUUUGUCUUGGAGAAUAAUUAUGUUUUGAGUGCUAACUAUUGCUAAGCAUUAUGCUCAACACUUUAAAUAAAUGACUUCACUUAAUCCCUACAAUAAUCUUACAAAGCUGAUACGAUCUUGAUUUUGCAGGUGAGAGAAUUGACAUUUGGGCUUAAGAAAUUUUGUUAAAAGCUGGAAUUCAAACACAGGUCUGUGUGAGUUCAAAACCCAUGCCUUCAACCAUAUCAUCAUCAACCUUAGUUUCUAGAAAUACAAAAUCUGCACUCUUUCCUCUGCUGCAGCCUGAGGUAAUUUCUUAGCAGCUAAGGCUGUCACAAAGAACCUCUGCAGGACUGUGGCAGUGGAUUUGGUCACUUUUUAUAGCUCUUGGGAUUCAUUAUGAUAUAUAAUUUUCUUAUUAAAUUUCUAUAAACCUAUAUUGCUUCAAGAUAAAGUUGUUUUCCCCUGUUCUGACCCAUCUUAUGUAUCAUUGCCAGAGGAGUCUCAUAAAGUAUAGCUCAUCUUGUCACUUCUCUGCUCAGAAACCUCCCAAAGCUCCUGGUUGUCCCUGGGGCCACAGUUACUCUUGGAUAUGCAAAGCAGGCUGCACCCUGCCUUUCCAGGAUGACUUUCUAUUCUCUGGUUUUCAACCCUGGGGAUUAAACCAGGCUUUGUGAAUUUCUAGUGCAACCAGGAUUUUAGACUAGAGCUCUGUUCUAAGCACAGUGUGGGUCACUGCAGAAUCUCACUUCAAGAAGGGUCCUGUGGUUUCAUAAAGAUUGGAAAGCACUUCUCUAACUCGACCAUAUUACAAUUCAUUCGACAAUCCCCUGCCUACACCUCUGCUUAAAUUCAUCCUUCACGUAAAUUGAUCUUCCUUACAACACAGUCUUCUGAUAUCUCAUCCAUCCUUCAAGGCCUGGUUGGAACGCUACUGUCUCCAUGAAGCCUUCCUCAGUAACCCAGACAGAAAUCCUUUCCCUCUGCUUUAUGUACUUCCACAGCUCUUUUCUUAAUAUUACUCCUGUAGGACUUGCCACACUAAACCUUGUAGCAUGGAUAUUUGUGCCCAUCUCAUCUCAUCUGACCCACUUGACUUCAGUGUCGUGUCCUGGGGUUGAGCAGGCAGAGAUCAUAUGUCUUCAUUAUGUCUGUGUGUUACCCUAGCAUCUAACACUAUGUCUUGAUCAUGCCAGGAAUUUAAUAAAUAUGCAUUGAUAUAAACUGAAUUAAUAUUGAUUAUUGGGCAUCAUUUCAAAAAAUGGCUUUGGUAAGUUGUCUGCUUGGUGAACACCAUCUUU